RNAcentral lists this ribosomal RNA (359 nucleotides) under Scleropterus serratus. RNAcentral's name for it is "partial 12S ribosomal RNA". The record is from RNAcentral. Lineage: Eukaryota; Metazoa; Arthropoda; Insecta; Coleoptera; Curculionidae.
AGUCUAUUCAGAGGAACCUGCCCUAUAAUCGAUAGUCCACGAUCUUAUUUACUUAAUUUUAAAAAUUUGCAUAUCGUCGUAGUUUGAAUAUUUUUUAAGAAUUUUUAAAUAUUCAAGAUUUUUAAUAGAAGUAAUUCAGAUCAAGGUGUAGUUUAUAUUUAAGAAGAGGUGGGUUACAAUAAAUUUAUUUAAACGGUAAAAUUUUUUUAAAAAAUUUUUAAGGUGGAUUUGAAAGUAAUUACUUACAAAUAUAAGUAAUGAUUUUAGCUCUAAAAUAUGUACAUAUCGCCCGUCACUUUCAUUUUAAGAUGGAAUAAGUCGUAACAAAGUAGGGGUACCGGAAGGUGUCCCUGGAAGCU